UCACAGUAUCAAGCUUGGCUUGUUGUUGGGCUCUUUGUCACCUGGUGACAGGUCCAAAAGAUAAUGACUGGUGUCAUAGACUCAACAUGCAACGAGCUGAUAACAGCAUGCAUUUAGCAGUCAUAUGGCCCGGUUCUCACCCUUUAUUUCUCAA
Molecule: unclassified non-coding RNA, 154 nt
Filed under: uncultured Chaetothyriales
Lineage: Eukaryota; Fungi; Ascomycota; Eurotiomycetes; Chaetothyriales
Description: sequence contains ITS2
Source: RNAcentral